This 63-nucleotide transfer RNA is filed under the name Nesophrosyne haleakala. Its description in RNAcentral is "tRNA-Ser". Lineage: Eukaryota; Metazoa; Arthropoda; Insecta; Hemiptera; Cicadellidae. The record is from RNAcentral.
AGUUAUUUAGCUUAUAUUAAAGUUUAUAUUUUGAAAAUAUAAGAAAGAGGAAUUUAAUAACUU